GCGGUUGAAGGAAGCUUGCUUCCUGAUUCAGCGGCGGACGGGUGAGUAAUGCCUAGGAAUCUGCCUGGUAGUGGGGGACAACGUUUCGAAAGGAACGCUAAUACCGCAUACGUCCUACGGGAGAAAGCAGGGGACCUUCGGGCCUUGCGCUAUCAGAUGAGCCUAGGUCGGAUUAGCUAGUUGGUGAGGUAAUGGCUCACCAAGGCGACGAUCCGUAACUGGUCUGAGAGGAUGAUCAGUCACACUGGAACUGAGACACGGUCCAGACUCCUACGGGAGGCAGCAGUGGGGAAUAUUGGACAAUGGGCGAAAGCCUGAUCCAGCCAUGCCGCGUGUGUGAAGAAGGUCUUCGGAUUGUAAAGCACUUUAAGUUGGGAGGAAGGGCAGUCAGCGAAUACCUUGCUGUCUUGACGUUACCGACAGAAUAAGCACCGGCUAACUCUGUGCCAGCAGCCGCGGUAAUACAGAGGGUGCAAGCGUUAAUCGGAAUUACUGGGCGUAAAGCGCGCGUAGGUGGUUUGUUAAGUUGGAUGUGAAAUCCCCGGGCUCAACCUGGGAACUGCAUCCAAAACUGGCAAGCUAGAGUAGGGCAGAGGGUGGUGGAAUUUCCUGUGUAGCGGUGAAAUGCGUAGAUAUA
RNAcentral lists this ribosomal RNA (637 nucleotides) under Pseudomonas rhizosphaerae. Its description in RNAcentral is "bacterial SSU rRNA". It matches the Rfam family "Bacterial small subunit ribosomal RNA", at positions 66 to 698 of the family's 1533-position model. Lineage: Bacteria; Pseudomonadati; Pseudomonadota; Gammaproteobacteria; Pseudomonadales; Pseudomonadaceae. The record is from RNAcentral.